RNAcentral lists this ribosomal RNA (3333 nucleotides) under Triticum aestivum (bread wheat). RNAcentral describes it as "partial small subunit ribosomal RNA". Lineage: Eukaryota; Viridiplantae; Streptophyta; Magnoliopsida; Poales; Poaceae. The record is from RNAcentral.
AUGAUGAGAUAUUUGAAAGCAGACUGCGAGCUACCGUGGCUAUGUAUUGGUGAUUUUAAUGAGGUUCUGAGUCGGGAAGAACAGUUUGGACCUAAUGAGAGAGAAUUGGGUCAGAUUAAUGCAUUUAGGGAUGCGGUGGAUGUUUGUCAGUUGGCUGAUUUGGGGUACAGUGGGCUAGACUGGACGUUCGAGCGAAAGAUCCAGAAUGGUGCUUACUGUAGAGUUAGGCUCGACCGAGCCCUUGCGACGGCAGACUGGAGCUCCAUUUUCCCAUUAGCCUCAGUCCGUCACCUUCAUGCGGUGAAGUCUGAUCAUUCACCCAUACUUCUGCUUAACAGCAUGGAGGCACAUAAUCAGAGGAUAGGAAAAUCUCGGCCGUUUCGAUAUGAGUUGAUGUGGGAGCGCCAUGAGGGCUUCCAGGCGUUGGUAGAAGAGGCAUGGGGUAGAAUGCAGGCUGUAUCAGUUGCACAAUUGUCAGAAAAAUUGCAGAAUAUGGCGGCGGCCUUGAUGGGUUGGGGCUCGACCACUUUUGGUUCUGUUCGAGAGGAACUACGUAAGCUACGAAAACGUUUGGCACUUCUGCGGGAGGACCAAGCGCGGGUCAGUUCAUCCCAUGAAGAAGUGAAGAUAGAGCAGCGUAUUAUAGAACUUCGGUUCCGGGAAGAGGUGAUGUGGCGCCAAAGGGCGCGCAUACAGUGGCUGCUGGAGGGGGAUCAGAACACGAGUUUUUUUCAUAAAAAAGCAUCGAGCCGACGCAAGAAGAAUCGGGUUCAGCGACUCACGCGACCUAAUGGCACUAUUUGUGAGGACCCGGUGGAACUCGAGCAGAUGGCAGUCGAAUUUUAUGAGCAUUUAUAUGCGUCUAAAGGAGUUAUAGGGAUGGAUGAGGUUCUGUCCCACGUACCUUGUAAAGUGACUGCUGAAAUGAAUGAGAUGCUAUCUAAAACUAUCACCGAGGGGGAGGUAAAGAGUGCUUUAUUUCAGAUGUUCCCUAUGAAGGCCCCGGGGCCCGACGGAUUCCCGGCACAUUUUUUUCAGAAGUAUUGGCAUCUCUGUGGUGAAGAGGUGACAAAGAUUGUUAUUCGAGUGUUGAAGGGAGAUGACUCCCUAGAGGAGAUCAACAGGACGUUCAUAGUAAUCAUCCCUAAGGUACAGAACCCAUCAUUUCUGUCUCAGUUCCGGCCUAUAAGCUUGUGCAACGUGAUUUACAAAAUCGCUUCAAAAGUACUUGCUAACCGUCUGAAGCAGAUUCUCCUAGAAAUUAUCUCUGAAGAACAGUCGGCCUUUGUGCCGGGUCGCUUGAUCACGGACAAUGUUAUUACGGCAUAUGAGUGCCUUCAUUUCAUGAAGAAUAGCAGAAGCAAGAAAAAUGGUCAUUUUGCAUUAAAGCUAGAUAUGAUGAAAGCGUAUGACCGUGUGGAGUGGGUAUAUUUGGAGGCUAUUAUGAAAAAGCUUGGUUUUUGUAACCACUUUGUCAAGCAGGUUAUGAGAGGGGUGUCCUCCGUUACCUUUUCUUUAUUGUUUAAUGGAAGUCGCAGCCAGGAGUUUUCUCCGACACGAGGCAUUAGGCAGGGGGAUCCCAUCUCACCCUACAUGUUCUUAUUGGCAGCUGAGGGACUAUCAUGUAUGAUGAAGAAAGCAAGCGAGGAUGGAUCUUUUGAGGGCAUCAAAAUUGCACCCUUGGUGCCCAAAGUCAAUCACCUCCUUUUUGCUGACGAUUGUCUGCUCUUUAGUAGGGCGACGGCGGAACAUUCGGAGACUUUGAACAACAUUCUGAUUGCAUAUUGUCAAGCUUCUGGGCAGCGCAUAAACCAUGACAAGUCAUCCAUUUAUUUCGGGAAAGGUUGUCCCGCUUCUUGUAGAGAUAUGGUAAAGGGUAUUUUGGAUAUCCAGAAAGAAUCGUUGUGUGAGAGAUAUUUGGGGCUCCCUUCGGAUGUGGGGCGCACAAAGAAUGGUGUGUUCGCUUAUUUGAAAGAUAGAGUGUGGAAGAAUGUGCAAGGAUGGAUGGAACGGUGCCUUGCGGGAAGUGGCAAGGAGAUUCUUAUAAAGUCAGUGGUGCAAGCAAUACCAACGUACUCCAUGGCUCUAUUCAAGUUACCGAGAGGUCUAUGUCAGCAUAUUACAACAAUGAUUCGCAAGUUUUGGUGGGGGAGUAAAGCGGGCGAGAGGAAGAAGGCAUGGGUGUCAUGGGAAACUAUGUGCAUGCCAAAAUACAAGGGUGGUUUAGGGUUCCGUGAUAUGGAAAUUUUUAACCUUGCUCUUCUCGCGCGUCAGGCGUGGAGAUUACUAAAGGAACCAGAUACCCUAAGUGCUCGUAUUCUUAAGUCGGUCUACUUCCCCUACUCCGACAUUCUAUCAGCUGAUGUAGGAUCGCGCCCGUCCCAAAUAUGGCGGUCAAUCUGUGAAGGACGUGAUAUACUCCGUACAGGGCUGAUCAAGCGAAUAGGGGAUGGUGCAGACACCAACAUAUGGAAUGAUAAUUGGUUACCAAGGAACUUUAAUAUGAGGCCAAUAUGUACCGUAUCUGCUAAUCCUCCUUCACAAGUUUCGGAGCUCAUAGUGCAUGCAACCAAGUCAUGGAACGAGCAAGCACUUGAGGAGCACCUUCUGCCCAUUGAUAUAGAAAUUGUAAGGCAAAUCCCAUUAAGCUACAAGGGACAGCAAGACUUUUAUGCUUGGCAAUAUGAGAGAAGCGGCUCCUUCUCUGUCCGCUCAUGCUACCGACUAGUGGUAGAAACUAAGUAUAGGAGGGAAGCCUGGCUCAACGGCGAGUCGAGCAACUCGGAUACGGCUCAGCAAGAAAGAAGCUGGAAGCAGCUUUGGGGCGUCAAGGUUCCAGCCAAGAUUCGUGUGUUUGCUUGGCGGCUGACACGGGCGUCGCUGCCUACAGGGCAGGAAAAGGAGAGAAGGCACAUGACCGACGAAGCAUUAUGUCCGAUCUGCAAGGCAGCAGUUGACUCGUGGCGACAUGCGCUGCUGGAUUGCAACAUGGCCAAGAGUGUGUGGUCUCUACACGAUGAUGACUCUCUGCUCCCUGUUUAUGGUGAUGAGAGUUCUGAUCCCAAGCUAUGGCUUUUUAAUUUGUGUAACACACUCAGCAAGGAUAAAUUUGUUUCGGUUCUUGUGACAUUAUGGGCAAUAUGGUGGGCACGCAGAAAGGCCAUCCAUGAGCAAGAAUUCCACAGCCCGUUAUCUACACAUCAGUUCAUUGAGAAGUAUCUACACGAGCUCGAGGAGCUCCCAGCGAGACCUUCAGUUAUCAGGUCUACAAGGCAUCCGGCACCGAGGAAUAGUACAGCCUGGAUACCGCGGAAGCAAGCGAGGUGGAGUUGA